Long non-coding RNA from Apus apus (common swift), 384 nucleotides. RefSeq lists it as uncharacterized. The transcript has 3 exons. The record is from RefSeq and is a predicted model, not a curated record. Lineage: Eukaryota; Metazoa; Chordata; Aves; Apodiformes; Apodidae.
UUGGAUCUGAGCUCUGCCCUCUUGGUGUGAGCCAUGAUGGGGUGACAGAUCUUGCUGGGGCUCCGUUUUAUCACAGUGGAGGGGAAGGAGGAAGAGUUUACGUCUAUUGCCUGGAGACAAGAGACACCUUGAAAGGACACUUCCACGUGCAGGUGACCUCUCCAUUUGCAAGGUUUGGGUGUGCAGUGGCCAGGAUCAGAGACAUCAGUGGGACUGGAUGUGAGGAUGUCAUAGAUGGAGCCCCCCUUGAAGAUCCACGUUCAAACAGCCCCUCUUUUGGCAGCACUUACCUAUUUAAAGUGUUUUGCUGAGCUCUAGAAGAAGAAUUAUAUCAUAGAGUUUGCUGUUCCUGUGCUGGAUAAAUACAAGCCAUCAGAGAUGCUU